This 497-nucleotide ribosomal RNA is filed under the name uncultured bacterium. RNAcentral's name for it is "partial 16S ribosomal RNA". It matches the Rfam family "Bacterial small subunit ribosomal RNA", at positions 28 to 507 of the family's 1533-position model. The record is from RNAcentral.
GAUGAACGCUGGCGGCGUGCCUAAUACAUGCAAGUCGAGCGAACGGACGAGGCGCUUGCUCCUCUGACGUUAGCGGCGGACGGGUGAGUCACACGUGGCUAACCUACCUAUAAGACUGGGGUCACUUCGGGAGAGCGGAGAUCAUACCGGAUCAUAUAUUGAACCGCAUGGUUCUAUAGUGCUAGACGGUUUUGCUGUCACUAAUAGAUGGAUCCGCGCCGCAUUAGCUAGUUGGUAAGGUAACGGCUUACCAAGGCGACGAUGCGUAGCCGACCUGAGAGGGUGAUCAGCCACACUGGAACUGAGACACGGUCCAGACUCCUACGGGAGGCAGCAGUAGGGAAUAUUCCGCAAUGGGCGAAAGCCUGACGGAGCAACGCCGCGUGAGUGAAGAAGGUCUUCGGAUCGUAAAACUCUGUUAUUAGGGAAGAACAAAUGUGUAAGUAACUAUGCACGUCUUGACGGUACCAAAACAGAAAGCCCCGGCUAACUUCGUG